Molecule: transfer RNA, 74 nt
Filed under: Caudoviricetes sp.
Lineage: Duplodnaviria; Heunggongvirae; Uroviricota; Caudoviricetes
Description: tRNA-Lys
Rfam family: tRNA
About the family: Transfer RNA (tRNA) molecules are approximately 80 nucleotides in length.
Source: RNAcentral
GGGGAUGUAGCUUAAUUGGCAAAAGCACACGACUUUUAAUCGUGAGAGCGUGGGUUCGAUGCCCAUCAUCCUCA